CCUACGGGAGGCAGCAGUGGGGAAUAUUGGGCAAUGGGCGCAAGCCUGACCCAGCAACGCCGCGUGAAGGAUGAAGGCUUUCGGGUUGUACACUUCUUUUGUCAGGGAAGAGUAGAAGACGAUCCCUGGCGAAUAAGCCACGGCUAACUAUGUUCCAACAGCCGCGGUAAUACGUAGGUGGCAAGCGUUGUCCGGAUUUACUGGGUGGAAAGGGCGUGUAGCCGGGUUGACAAGUCAGAUGUGAAAUCCUGCGGCUUAACCGAAGAACUGCAUUUGAAUCUGUUGAUCGUGAGUACUGGAGAGGAAGAUGGAAUUUCUAGUGUAGCGUAGAAAUGCGGAGAUAUUAGGAGGA
Molecule: ribosomal RNA, 352 nt
Filed under: uncultured bacterium
Lineage: Bacteria
Description: partial 16S ribosomal RNA
Rfam family: Bacterial small subunit ribosomal RNA
Source: RNAcentral